CGAAGCUAUUUAAUAAGUACACUCCAAUCAAGGCAUCAACCUAGUUCAAAUAAACUGAUGUCAUCCAGAAUCUAGUAGUUGACUUUAAUCAAAUCCAGCAAGCUCAAAUAAAUACAAGUGUACCUGAACGAGGGCAAUCAAAAGUUUCCCAUAAUUUUAGUAUAGCCCGCAGGACAAAGAGGUCUCAUGUUUGGACUGAUACACUCCCUUGCAUAUGACCCCAUGCACUUCACUGAAAAUUAUAGCUAGCUGG
This 253-nucleotide unclassified non-coding RNA is filed under the name Hevea brasiliensis (rubber tree). The record is from RNAcentral. Lineage: Eukaryota; Viridiplantae; Streptophyta; Magnoliopsida; Malpighiales; Euphorbiaceae.